Molecule: ribosomal RNA, 429 nt
Filed under: bacterium
Lineage: Bacteria
Description: partial 16S ribosomal RNA
Rfam family: Bacterial small subunit ribosomal RNA
Source: RNAcentral
UAGGGAAUCUUCGGCAAUGGGGGCAACCCUGACCGAGCAACGCCGCGUGAGUGAAGAAGGCUUUCGGAUCGUAAAGCUCUGUUGUAAGAGAAGAACGUGUGUGAGAGUGGAAAGUUCACACAGUGACGGUAACUUACCAGAAAGGGACGGCUAACUACGUGCCAGCAGCCGCGGUAAUCCGUAGGUCCCGAGCGUUGUACGGAUUCAUUGGGUGUAAAGCGAGGGCAGGCGGUUUAAUAAGUCUGAAGUUAAAGGCAGUGGCUUAACCAUUGUUCGCUUUGGACACUGUUAAACUUGAGUGCAGAAGGGGGGAGUGAAAUUCCAUGUGUAGCUGUGAAAUGCGUAGAUAUAUGGAGGAACACCGGUGGCGAAAGCGGCUCUCUGGUCUGUAACUGACGCUGAGGCUCGAAAGCGUGGGGAGCAAACAGG